RNAcentral lists this ribosomal RNA (954 nucleotides) under Phaeobotryon sp. RNAcentral's name for it is "partial large subunit ribosomal RNA". It matches the Rfam family "Eukaryotic large subunit ribosomal RNA", at positions 56 to 1400 of the family's 3401-position model. Lineage: Eukaryota; Fungi; Ascomycota; Dothideomycetes; Botryosphaeriales; Botryosphaeriaceae. The record is from RNAcentral.
GGAGAGAGCAACAGGGAUUGCCUUAGUAACGGCGAGUGAAGCGGCAACAGCUCAAAUUUGAAAGCUGGCUCCUUCGGAGUCCGCAUUGUAAUUUGUAGAGGAUGAUUCGGCGAGGGCUCCCGCCUAAGUCCACUGGAACGUGGCGUCAUAGAGGGUGAGAAUCCCGUAUGCGGUGGGUUGCCUUAGCCAUGUGAAUCUCCUUCGACGAGUCGAGUUGUUUGGGAAUGCAGCUCUAAAUGGGAGGUAAAUUUCUUCUAAAGCUAAAUACCGGCCAGAGACCGAUAGCGCACAAGUAGAGUGAUCGAAAGAUGAAAAGCACUUUGGAAAGAGAGUUAAAAAGUACGUGAAAUUGUUGAAAGGGAAGGGCUUGCAACCAGACUUGUCCGCAGUUGCUCAGCCGGUCUCCUGACCGGCGUACUCUUCUGCGGCCAGGCCAGCAUCAGUUCGGGCGGUCGGAUAAAGACCUAGGGAAUGUAGCUCCUCUCGGGGAGUGUUAUAGCCCUGGGUGGAAUGCGACCAGCCUGGACUGAGGAUCUCGCUUCGGCAAGGAUGCUGGCGUAAUGGUUGUAAGCCGCCCGUCUUGAAACACGGACCAAGGAGUCUAACAUCUAUGCGAGUGUUUGGGUGUCAAACCCAUACGCGUAAUGAAAGUGAACGGAGGUGGGAACCCGCAAGGGCGCACCAUCGGCCGAUCCUGAUGUCUUCGGAUGGAUUUGAGCAAGAGCAUAGCUGUUGGGACCCGAAAGAUGGUGAACUAUGCCUGAAUAGGGUGAAGCCAGAGGAAACUCUGGUGGAGGCUCGCAGCGGUUCUGACGUGCAAAUCGAUCGUCAAAUUUGGGUAUAGGGGCGAAAGACUAAUCGAACCAUUAACACUGUAGUUGUUCGAACUACUAGGUGGUUAAGAGGCGGCUAAAAGAGCCCGCCUAGUCCCCCAUCGGGGCGACCUGUCAAUUG